RNAcentral lists this ribosomal RNA (490 nucleotides) under uncultured bacterium. Its description in RNAcentral is "partial 16S ribosomal RNA". It matches the Rfam family "Bacterial small subunit ribosomal RNA", at positions 28 to 507 of the family's 1533-position model. The record is from RNAcentral.
GAUGAACGCUGGCUACAGGCUAACACCUGCAAGUCGAGGGGAAACGACGGGGAAGCUUGCUUCCCCGGGCGUCGACCGGCGCACGGGUGAGUAACGCGUAUCCAACCUGCCUCUGACUGAGGGAUAACCCGUCGAAAGUCGGCCUAAUACCUCAUGGCAUCGUCUGCGGGCAUCCAACGACGAUUAAAGAUUUCAUCGGUCAGAGAUGGGGAUGCGUCUGAUUAGCUUGUUGGCGGGGUAACGGCCCACCAAGGCGACGAUCAGUAGGGGUUCUGAGAGGAAGGUCCCCCACAUUGGAACUGAGACACGGUCCAAACUCCUACGGGAGGCAGCAGUGAGGAAUAUUGGUCAAUGGGCGAGAGCCUGAACCAGCCAAGUAGCGUGCAGGAUGACGGCCCUAUGGGUUGUAAACUGCUUUUAUGCGGGGAUAAAGUGAGGGACGUGUCCUUCAUUGCAGGUACCGCAUGAAUAAGGACCGGCUAAUUCCGUG